GCCUGAUUCUCUCUCUCUGGUUUGCCUGCUCCCCUCCCUGACUUCUUGUUGUAUCGAGAUGCGCGAACGAACCAGCGCUCCAGCCAUCAGCACUGCGCCCCUAGGGAGAUGGAGAUGCGUGGGAUAGAUUCUGGUGGUGCGUAGGCAACGCCUUAUCUUCCUCUGCACCACAGGACCAGCAGAUCCAUCUUCCACAGCGACGGCGGCAGGGCGGUGCUGGUUCUUUUUUUAGCGCUAUAGCGACGCCUUCCCCUCCUACUCCCCUUCUCUUAUCCUCAGUCUCCGCUCUCCACCUGCCCGCCAACACCACUCCAGUCGCCCCCUCCGCGUGUGCGCUGCUCCUUUUGUCCGCUAAUUUGGCCCAUCCAUAUGUUCUUGGAGCAACCAAUCUAUUACCGGGGGAAAAGGUGAAGAACGGCACUAUUAAUUCCCUUGUACGGAGUAUGUUUUUAGGACCCUUUAUUUAUGUUUUUCUCGACAUAUGGAUUUAUGGUCUACUAUGUUGCCCCUUCUCAUCUGGUAUUGUCUCCGAUGGUACCGCAACAUCUGAACCCGUCAGUACAAUUAGCUUGGCUAUUUAUAUUGUUUGGAGAUGAAUCCAAAAAUAUGAUCCCACGUGUACACUUAGCAAUUGGUUAUACUAACUGUGCAUCGUUCUACAAUGAUAAAUUUUCUAAGAUAAACUUUCUAAGUUCACGAUCAGAUGCUGGGACUGUUUAUGUUGUCUUGGUCGCCAUUUUCUGUGUGUCACGUGCACACGCGUAUAUAAUUUGAGAUGCAUUGCAAACUGACCUUAAUAUUUUGUCGCACAAUUUUGAACUCCUCCAUCUCCACAUUUCUUAUAAUCAUUUUUCAGAUUCUUGCAGUCCAUUUACUUCUAAAAAGGUGUAGUCCUCAUAAUGCAUGUCUUUGGUCAAUAUAGACAGCUGCCUCAACCAGACCAGACAAGUUUUUUGAGCCUAUAUAUUGUUUGACUACAAAUUUGCUUCCAUGAAUGACAACUAUGCCAAUGUCAAGAUCUGCUCUAAAUGGCAUAGAUAAUAACGGUAUUUUUCAACCUUGGUCAGCAGCAUGUCACCAGUAGCACUUAAGCUUAUUAUUCGGGGAUUGCAGACCUAGAAACGUCUAUUUUGCUACCAUCAGUAUCCAUGUAACUAAGUUACUCCUCCACUGGUGCUUUUACUGAAACAAUAUUUUAGUCGAUGUUACUAAUGUGUUGUUGAGUAGC
Molecule: non-coding RNA, 1228 nt
Organism: Triticum urartu
Lineage: Eukaryota; Viridiplantae; Streptophyta; Magnoliopsida; Poales; Poaceae
Source: RefSeq, a predicted model, not a curated record